RNAcentral lists this ribosomal RNA (262 nucleotides) under uncultured archaeon. Its description in RNAcentral is "partial 16S ribosomal RNA". It matches the Rfam family "Archaeal small subunit ribosomal RNA", at positions 748 to 1009 of the family's 1478-position model. The record is from RNAcentral.
CAGCCGUAAACUAUGCGCGUUAGGUGUAUCGGUGACCACGAGUUACCGAGGUGCCGAAGGGAAACCGUGAAACGUGCCGCCUGGGAAGUACGGUCGCAAGGCUGAAACUUAAAGGAAUUGGCGGGGGGAGCACCACAACGGGUGGAGCCUGCGGUUUAAUUGGACUCAACGCCGGACAACUCACCGGGAACGACAGCAAUAUGUAGGCCAGGCUGAAGACCUUGCCUGAAUCGCUGAGAGGAGGUGCAUGGCGUAGACGUCU